This 433-nucleotide ribosomal RNA is filed under the name uncultured bacterium. Its description in RNAcentral is "partial 16S ribosomal RNA". It matches the Rfam family "Bacterial small subunit ribosomal RNA", at positions 31 to 507 of the family's 1533-position model. The record is from RNAcentral.
AAAGAAGGAGGGGGGCAUGCCUAACACAUGCAAGUCGAACGAGACCUUCGGGUCUAGUGGCGCACGGGUGCGUAACGCGUGGGAACCUGCCCUUAGGUUCGGAAUAACUCCCCGAAAGGGGUGCUAAUACCGGAUAAUGUCUUCGGACCAAAGAUUUAUCGCCUUUGGAUGGGCCCGCGUUGGAUUAGCUAGUUGGUAGGGUAAAAGCCUACCAAGGCGACGAUCCAUAGCUGGUCUGAGAGGAUGAUCAGCCACACUGGGACUGAGACACGGCCCAGACUCCUACGGGAGGCAGCAGUGGGGAAUAUUGGACAAUGGGCGAAAGCCUGAUCCAGCAAUGCCGCGUGAGUGAUGAAGGCCUUAGGGUUGUAAAGCUCUUUUACCCGGGAUGAUAAUGACAGUACCGGGAGAAUAAGCUCCGGCUAACUCCGUG